Long non-coding RNA from Puntigrus tetrazona (Sumatra barb), 1822 nucleotides. RefSeq lists it as uncharacterized. The transcript is spliced from 4 exons. The record is from RefSeq and is a predicted model, not a curated record. Lineage: Eukaryota; Metazoa; Chordata; Actinopteri; Cypriniformes; Cyprinidae.
UCCCAGAUAAAGCUGUAAGAGAGCCGGGUUGAAGCUGGGAACUGCUUCUGAAACAUUCUGCCCUCCACAGCUACCAUGAGGUGGACCCGAGCCAAUCCGAAGGGCACGCUGGACUGGGUCAAGAUGACCUUCAGAACAGAUGUGAUGCGGAAUGACUCACCUGUGUCUCAGGAAUGAUGGGGCUGGCCUCGGGGCUGGAGCAGUAGAAGGUGGAGAGUGGUGACGCCGUGAUUCGGGGCGAGGGUCUGUCAAGGCCACUGAAUUCACAGGGUAUGUGUGCCCCCUGGAGCUACCAGAAAGCUGACGCGCUGAUAGAAGCCCUGAGCGUCUAGAGAAGAGCAAAGGGUUUCCAUGGCGACAUCACACCCCACCCCUCUCCAUCCCGACUGGCAGAGGCAGUGCCAUCCGUUCUGGUCUAGAAUGCACCUGCCGUUGUUGUUACACAGCCCUGGACAGCUAUCUACCGGGACAAAUUCAUCAGUUAUACAUACCGACCAAUCAUCAGCCUACGAUGUGUCAAAGGGGUGAAGAACUCACCAUAAAGAACUGUAUAAACAUACAGGGGAAAACACGGUGAAUGUGUUUCAGUCAGUCAAACAUUUGGAACUUGACAUUUUAAAGACAUUGGACAGGACUCAGGGACAGCUGUAAUUUCACAUGAAACAGCUGGACAAAAUAAGUGCUGCUUGAGUAUUGUAAAAAAAAAAAAAAAUUCUGCUCUCCAUUUCUAGGAGAAUAGAUUAUUAAAUUCAGCUAAAUACCAGCUAGACAAAAUGUUAAAAAAGGAAAAAGAAGGAAAAAAUACAUGAAAUAAAAUAUUUAUGUGAAAUCUCAGCAGUUUAUAAAGUUAAAAGAACAUUCUUAUGAAAAAUACUAGCAAAUUACACAUCUAGCAGUGUCCAUGUGAAUUAACAGCAUGCUGAGCUGAACAGCACAAGUGCAGAGAGAGUUUAUCAGACGGUAUACUGAAGUGCUCCAUCAUAUCCUUUGUCACAGAAAAGUGUGAAGUCAAAGGAAAUUACAGAGGAAAUGCUAAAUUAAGGAGCUUAGCAGCUGCUAAAUAUUACGUUAUGAGACAGUGAGAUGUACAACAAUGGGGAUUUGGGUAAUGCAAAUGUGUAUAUGUGCAUGGACUGACUGAUGAUUUUGUGUGUGUCUUUGUAUGCCUACAGUUACACUGUAUAAAACAGGAAACCUGAAACCGAACACAUGUGGGGACACAUUAAUACACGGUACAUAGACAUAAUGAAAGUCAUGCUUGAGAGACAGAGGGGUCAGAGCCACAUGCUCUCUUCAGGGCAGCAUGACCUUUACCUCUAUAUCCUAUCCAGUCUGCUAUCAUGAAGAGACAUUCAGGGAAAAGAAUUAAACAUGGGGUGUUAUACUGCGGUAUGCAGUGAUUUAGUGUCAUUUUUACAGACAGCCCAGGCAGCCUCUGCUGGAUACACACACCUAAUAUGCUGCGGCUUACCCUCUCCUCAGUAAAUAUGACAUUUUGUGAUAUUUGCAUUGUACCGUUGAAGAGCUCGAUUAGAAGAAGACUCGAAUGCUUUUGAAAUUAGCUUUUUUCCCUUUCUUUUUUUUUUUUUACAAAGCAAGGUCUACAUCAGUGAAUCUGCUUUUUCGAUUUUAUAAACGUUUGCAUUCAAUGAAAAUAUUAUUAAGAAGGAAUUUAAUAAAACAAUAAUUAAAUAAGAGAUACACUUUUAUUACGGACAUCACACAGAAAGCAGAACAUGGUUGAUGAAAGCACUGUACCUUUUAUUUUGCUGUCCAAAAAGUGAGCUGGAGUAAUAAAAUGAAGCAAAGGGAAAGAAUAAAA